Long non-coding RNA from Equus quagga, 3129 nucleotides. RefSeq lists it as uncharacterized. The transcript has 2 exons. Lineage: Eukaryota; Metazoa; Chordata; Mammalia; Perissodactyla; Equidae. The record is from RefSeq and is a predicted model, not a curated record.
AAAAGAGAAGAAGGCGUGGAAAAAAUUCUGAAUUUUAAAAACAAGUGACAGAAGGUUUGUGGAAGUAAAAUCCUGAGGAGUUUGGUGUAUGGUCAAGUUGGUUGAGAUUAAAAUAAAUGAGUUUCAAUAUCAAGAGUAAAGCAGUCACAGGCAGAGCCGCUGGCUCCAGUGUGUGCACGGGAGGGAGGGCAGGCCAGGGACUCGUCAGGCCUUGGGCGGAAAGUGCCUGUGGGGGACAGGAAGAGCGCGGUGAGUGCGUGGUCCAGCACCCCAGCGCUGGCAGGGAGGCUGAGUGAAGCGGGACGCUGAGUCCUGAGCAGCAGGUGGCCGUGACUCCCUGCCCCUCCCUGCUCUCUGGUGACACGACUGAGGUUGAGCAAAGCUCAGAGAGUGUCUGCAGUGCGGCUGCCAUGGCCCCAGGGAGCGGCAAGCACCCCUCAGGGGAAAAAAGUGAUAAACAGCCAAACACUGUUCUGGUGGCUUUAACAGUGCCCACAGUGACAGCCUGGGAACGCCCUAGCCCCCUCGACUGGACGGAGGGCCAAAGGACCUUGACCCAUGCCUGCAGCGCUGUGCAGGUGGUUCAGGUAUCACGGGACCAGAAGCCACAAGAGGAAAUAACAAUGUACUGGUCCACAGGAGCAUUUUGCUGUCAGGGGUGAAAAUGAGCACAAUGACUUCCAUCACUUCUCACCUCACUCUGCUGCCAUGCUUCUGGAGCACCGCCCGGUGGACAAAACCCCCUGAGGUUACCUUGUUUCAUUACAUUGAUGGUGUCAUAUUAACCUCUGAGUCUUUUUCAGACCUUCAAGAAGCGUCUCUCUCCCUUGCCGCCCACCUAUGCCAACGAGAAUGGGUAGUAAACGACAAUAAAGUACAAGGGUCUGGGUUAUCUGUCAAACACUUGGUGUUAUCUGGUCGGGUAAGACAAAAGCGGUUCCUGCUACUGUUAUAGAUAAGACACAGGCUGUCCAUCCUCUUUAAAAGUUGGUGCCAAAGGGUAUCAUCUGGGACUAGGGGACCACCAAGCAGGAGGCCUUCUCCCAAGCCUAAAUGACAGUAAAACAAAUCCAGCCCUUGGGUGUUUUAACACAAGGACAGCUGUGUGAACUGGAUGUUUCCAGUCACCCAGAGGGGUUCGGAUGGGGUCUCUGGCAGAGGCAAAGCAAUAAACCAGUGCCCCUCGGCUUCUGGUCCCAAUUGUGGAAAGGGGCUGAAAACCAGUAUAGCGCCCUGGAACAAUUGUGUGCUGCUUACCUCGUCCUCCAGCAGGUGGAGCCCAUAACCCAUUCCCUGCCGGUCAUCUGCCCAUUGCAAGGUGGCUGAGGGAUGCUUUCCAAAAGCCCCACUCAGGAACAGCCCAAACACAGACAUUGGCAAAGUGGCGUGCAUACUUACAACACCGAGGGACCCUCACCAGUAGUCCCCUCAGUGCAGAACUACAUGCCCUCCUGGGGCCAGUAACACACACCACAGAAGAAACAAGCCCGUUAGAUGAGGUGCCCAUGCCUGAAACCCUGCCAAAUGUACAGGAAGGAGGAGGACCAAUCCCAGCAGAGGCCUGGUAGACGGAUGGCUCCGCAAGGGGUAACCACCCCCCCCCCAGUGGACAGCGGGGACCAUCCAGCCUUCAACCAGCAGCAUGUGGUUGGACCCUGGCUCUGGAUACAGUAGUCAACGGGCUGAACUGAGGGCCACCUGGAUGGUGUUGACUUGUGAGCCCGGUCCAAUAUGUCUGUGCAUGGACAGUCAGGUAGUCUAUACAGGGCUCACCCUGUGGAUGGCCUAAUGGGCAUGACAAAAGUGGACUAUUAAUGGUCACCCAUUGUCAGGGGCAGAGCUCUGGGAUGACAUCUGGCAUCAGGUCUUGGGAAUGACAAUAACAGUGUACCAUGUGUCUGCACACCAGGUGACAACACCACCAGGAAACCAACAAGCAGAUGAGUCAGCUCAGAUUUGUCUCCUGGAAGAAGUGCCAGCCAAAAGAGUGGCAGGGUGGCUACACAGGAAGACCGGACACAAAGGACAAAGGACCCUGUGGGCUGUCGCCAAGGACUGGGGCCUCCCGCUGCGCUAUGCUACUACGGUGCAGGUCUGUCAGGUGUGCCCUUCUUAUUCCUUACAGAGACCCUGGGCCAUUCCUCAGGACACAGGCCAAAUUGCCAGAAGCAACCAGCCUGCUCAACGCCGGCAGAUGGACUCCACAGGGCUGUUGCCUCUUUCUGAUGGCUGUAGGCAUGCCCUAACUAGUGCGGACACAGCUACAGGACUGCUACAGACAUAUCCCAGCAAGAGGGCCACACAGAAGACCACCAUGAGAGGCCUGGGGACACCUCUGUGCUGCCUACAGUGUUCCCAUGGACAUCAAUGGUGACCAAGGACAAUGUCAGCCAGCCUUUCCACUGCAUGGACACAGACUGGUGCUGGCAUACAAAACCGCUCCACCUGCUGGGCAUGCAGCGAGCUGCGUGCCUUCAACGGCAGGGUUACCAUGGCAUCUCCAAGCUGCCAACGCCUCUGACUGGAGAGCCGCAUGAGAGCGGAGGAGUGCCGCCCACUUUCCCAUUCCUACUCCCCUCCACCUGUGACAUGUUUUCUUUGCUGUCCUUGCUUUUUUACUACUUCUUUUAUUUUCAUGUUAUGCUUUCUAUUGCUGUUGUAGUUUCUGGCUACAGUGCUCCUCUCUGUGUCCGGCUCAAGGGGAACUGCAGAAGACUGGUGCGAUGAGAUUGUAAGGGCCAUUCUGACACAUGGUGGGUGGAGUGUAGGGGCACUAGCCAGCAUGCCCCUUUAAAACCAUGUGUCCUUGAGGCUCCUUGUCUGGGCUGCAUGCUAGCACUCAUGAUGAUAACAUUCCUGGGCUUGGCCACCCCAGCUGCUUUCUCGUGGGAGAGUUAGCACCAAGACCCUCGUGGUCAGAGGGAACACAGAGGCGCUCUGGGGCAGGGGUGCUCAGGUCCUUGGAAUGCAGGUCAUACAAGGACAGUCCCCCGUGGCAAGCACACAGCCUUUGUUCCUCUGCCUACUUAAGCAAGCUUCUCUCAGGGGGUGGUAGCGGGUGCACAUUGCUGUCCAGCCGGCCACCACUGGACCUUCCCUGUAAGUAACUCCCCAGUAAACCCAUAUGUC